RNAcentral lists this non-coding RNA (22 nucleotides) under Arabidopsis thaliana (thale cress). Lineage: Eukaryota; Viridiplantae; Streptophyta; Magnoliopsida; Brassicales; Brassicaceae. The record is from RNAcentral.
CUGCAGGUCUAGGAUGGACCCU